This 317-nucleotide ribosomal RNA is filed under the name uncultured bacterium. RNAcentral describes it as "partial 16S ribosomal RNA". It matches the Rfam family "Bacterial small subunit ribosomal RNA", at positions 355 to 665 of the family's 1533-position model. The record is from RNAcentral.
UAGGGAAUCUUCCACAAUGGACGCAAGUCUGAUGGAGCAACGCCGCGUGAGUGAAGAAGGUUUUCGGACCGUAAAGCUCUGUUGUUGGUGAAGAAGGAUAGAGGUAGUAACUGGCCUUUAUUUGACGGUAAUCAACCAGAAAGUCACGGCUAACUACGUGCCAGCAGCCGCGGUAAUACGUAGGUGGCAAGCGUUGUCCGGAUUUAUUGGGCGUAAAGCGAGCGCAGGCGGAAGAAUAAGUCUGAUGUGAAAGCCCUCGGCUUAACCGAGGAAUUGCAUCGGAAACUGUUUUCUUGAGUGCAGAAGAGGAGAGUGGA